CCCCGGCCACGCGAGCGGGAACAGUCUCCUCCACUCGGAGCGGCGCCAUCUUCAGCUCUGAGUCACCAGGGCUGGAAAAAUACUAGAUGCGCUACUCGUGGACUCGUGAAUACACUCGUGAAUACAGGCCAUUUCCUGUACCUACAGCCACCCGCUCCACUCAUCAUGCCUUACCUGGAUGAUGCAGAAGUCCCUGGAAACAGAAGGUCUCACCCUUCUUUAUCUUUCUCAUGGCUUUCCAAGGCUCUUUAUCAUGUUACUUUCCUGCUCAGAAUUCUUUAAUGACUUGCCUCAAUGACCAGAUACAUGUGAUCUACAGUCAGCCUUCCAGCCUCAUCAUUCCUCUUCCAUUUCCUCCCCAGAAACACUGUACUUUAUGAAGCUCCUCCAAGACAGACUGGUUUAACAAGAGUCAUGUGAUCUUUCUGGUCAAUGAAAGAUAAGGGGAAGCCAGCCUGGAGUUGCUUCAGAAAGGCUGCUCUUAAACAGAAACAUAUUUGAAGAAACAGUAACUUUAUUCUGACUCUUUAUGUGUGUGGCGGAGGAAGUGAUGCCUAGAGCUACUACAGGCACUUAGGCCAUGAGGAGAACCAGUGUAAGUCAGCAAGCCAAGAUGCUAAAGACAGCAGAAUAAGAAAAUGGCAAGAAUCUUGUCCUUGAUGCUGUUGAGCUACUGAAUUAACCAGGGCUGCAACUCCCUGUAUUAGUAAGGAUUCUCCAGAGGAACAGAACCAAUAGAAUGUAUAUAUAAGUAUAUAAUAAGGAAUUAGCUCAUGCAGUUACAGAGGCUGACAAAUUCCAAUAUCUGCAGUUGGCAAGCUGGAGACUCAGGAGAACUGACGGUGUAGUCUAACGGCUAGCAGGCCCAAGAACCAGGAAAAGCUGAUUAAAGUUCAAAGGCGGGAAAAAAAAACCCAAUGUCCCAACUUGAAGGCAUUUAGGCAGGAGGAAUUCCCUCUUAUUUAUGAGACUGUCAGCCUUUUUGUUCUAUUUAGGCUAUCAAUUGUUUUGAUGAGGCCCACAACAUUAGAAAGGGCAGUGUGCUUUGCUCAGUCUAUCAAUUUCAACGUUAAACUCAUCCAGUAUAAUGUUUGAUCAACUAUCUGGGUAUGCCAUGGUUCAGUCAACUUGACACAUAAAGUUAACCAAUCGUCAAAACCCCCUACUUUUGGUUUCUUGAUAAAUAAAAUAAUAUUUAUCUUCUGUUUUAGUGGAAUAAAGGUAUGGAAAACGC
Molecule: long non-coding RNA, 1234 nt
Organism: Homo sapiens (human)
Lineage: Eukaryota; Metazoa; Chordata; Mammalia; Primates; Hominidae
Gene: AHI1-DT
Product: AHI1 divergent transcript
Source: Ensembl